UACCAGCACCCCGAGUGGUCGGGACGAUUAUUGGGCCUAAAGCAUCCGUAGCCGGUUCUACAAGUCUUCCGUUAAAUCCACCUGCUUAACAGAUGGGCUGCGGAGGAUACUUUAGAGCUAGGAGGCGGGAGAGGCAAGCGGUACUUAGUGGGUAGGGGUAAAAUCCGUUGAUCCAUUGAAGACCACCAGUGGCGAAGGCGGCUUGCCAGAACGCGCUCGACGGUGAGGGAUGAAAGCUGGGGGAGCAAACCGG
RNAcentral lists this ribosomal RNA (253 nucleotides) under uncultured bacterium. RNAcentral's name for it is "partial 16S ribosomal RNA". It matches the Rfam family "Archaeal small subunit ribosomal RNA", at positions 474 to 727 of the family's 1478-position model. The record is from RNAcentral.